UUUAUCGGAGAGUUUGAUCCUGGCUCAGGACGAACGCUGGCGGCGUGCCUAAUACAUGCAAGUCGAGCGGACAGAUGGGAGCUUGCUCCCUGAUGUUAGCGGCGGACGGGUGAGUAACACGUGGGUAACCUGCCUGUAAGACUGGGAUAACUCCGGGAAACCG
This 163-nucleotide ribosomal RNA is filed under the name Bacillus sp. Ru63. RNAcentral's name for it is "partial 16S ribosomal RNA". It matches the Rfam family "Bacterial small subunit ribosomal RNA", at positions 1 to 159 of the family's 1533-position model. The record is from RNAcentral. Lineage: Bacteria; Bacillati; Bacillota; Bacilli; Caryophanales; Bacillaceae.